UACGUAGGUGGCAAGCGUUGUCCGGAUUUAUUGGGUUUAAAGGGUGCGUAGGCGGCUUUGUAAGUCAGUAGUGAAAUACCCCAGCUCAACUGGGGGGGUGCUAUUGAUACUGCAUGGCUUGAGUACAGAUGAGGUAGGCGGAAUUGACGGUGUAGCGGUGAAAUGCAUAGAUAUCGUCAAGAACACCGAUAGCGAAGGCAGCUUACUAAGUUGUAACUGACGCUGAUGCACGAAAGUGUGGGGAUCAAACAGG
This 253-nucleotide ribosomal RNA is filed under the name uncultured bacterium. Its description in RNAcentral is "partial 16S ribosomal RNA". It matches the Rfam family "Bacterial small subunit ribosomal RNA", at positions 524 to 776 of the family's 1533-position model. The record is from RNAcentral.